This is a long non-coding RNA of Rosa rugosa (rugosa rose), 1151 nucleotides long. RefSeq lists it as uncharacterized. The transcript has 3 exons. Lineage: Eukaryota; Viridiplantae; Streptophyta; Magnoliopsida; Rosales; Rosaceae. The record is from RefSeq and is a predicted model, not a curated record.
UAAUUCUGUGAGCAAUAGUUAGUUUUCUAAGCAACAUGAAGCAUACUAAUAUGCUUACAUUUUGGUGAUGAAAGCUUGACAACAGAGCAGAUUAUUGUAGCAAGUGAACAUGACUAAUGUCUAGAAGUUGCAAGAAAUUGGUAUGCUUUUGUAGGUCACUUUUGUUUUAAUAUGUUGCAGAGAAGGGGACAUUGUUAUAAUACUACUAGAAUUUGCUUUUUAUAUCUGCUCUGUGGGGAUGCCCUUAUGUUUAGAACUGAGAAUGUACAUUCAACGAAUGAGCUGAAGAUGGACUUGAUGAUUGUUUGAGUUGUGGUGUUCAAAGUUCACAAUACUGCUACUUCUCAUAUGUAGUUUUAGUCACCUCUUUUUACUAUGUUUUACUUCAUUCAUGAGGUUAUAUGUUUUCUUUGGAUAGAUCUCUAUUGAAAUUACAUGUCAGUAUAACAUGCAAUCCUGCCAACGUUUGGGUCUUCGUUGGUUUGGUUACAGAGAGCAGCUCAGUUAGUGAGAAAAAGAGAUAGAGAGGCGACAUCGAUUUCAACAUGGAGGUGGGAGUGCAUUGCCGGAUAGUAAGGUUAUUGAUUUUGGUUGUUGGUUUCAAAUCAAUCAAUUUCCCAUUUUUUUUUUAUGAAGGUUUAUAGAAAAUUUGAUCUGUGCAUCUGGGUUUUGUCAAUCUUGAGGAAAUCUAGUCGUGGCGCGUGGUGGAGCUGUUGAGGGAAUCCGGGGCUCAGAGAGCAGGUCACAAAGCAGCAGCAUAUAUCAGGAGGAAAUGGGUACGGGAAGGUUACAGACAAUCUGGUAUUUGUUUUGGUUGGUGAGAUUUACUGUUACUGUGAUUUUUGGUUUUAUUUUUUUUUUCUUUCACCUGGCUUGACUAUAAAUGUAUGAUGGUGAUGCAGAUGAAAGCUUUAUCGGGCUCUGAACCUUCAGAUUCUAUUCGGAUUCAUAGGUGGCAGGCUCAAGGAUUGAGUGCUGAGUGUUAGAACUUGUGUUUUGUUUUUCAUUUUUGGUGAACCUUGUCUUGUAAUUAUCUUCUAUGCUUCUGGACAUGAUCCCUUGGUGUAAGGGUUUUGCAAUUGUAUUAUAUGCAAGUUUAAAUCUUGUACAUACGCAACAGAUCAUGCUGAAAUGUUAUAAAGACAUCUUUU